RNAcentral lists this transfer RNA (83 nucleotides) under marine eukaryotic metagenome. It matches the Rfam family "tRNA". From Rfam's summary of the family: Transfer RNA (tRNA) molecules are approximately 80 nucleotides in length. The record is from RNAcentral.
GAGAGGUGGCUGAGUGGUCGAAAGCACUGGUCUUGAAAACCAGCGACGGGCAACCGUCCCAGGGUUCGAAUCCCUGCCUCUCC